RNAcentral lists this ribosomal RNA (422 nucleotides) under uncultured bacterium. Its description in RNAcentral is "partial 16S ribosomal RNA". It matches the Rfam family "Bacterial small subunit ribosomal RNA", at positions 360 to 774 of the family's 1533-position model. The record is from RNAcentral.
AAUCUUUCACAAUGGACGAGAGUCUGAUGGCGCAACGCCGCGCGAGUGAAGAAGGUUCUCGGUUCGUAAAGCACUGUUGUAAGGGCAGAACAAGUACAGGAUUAACUGUCUGUAUCUUGACGGUAUCUUACCAGAAAGCCACGACUAACUAUGAGCCAGCGGCCGCGGUAAUACGUAGGUGGCAAGCGUUGUCCGGAAUUAUUGGGCGUAAAGGGCGCGCAGGCGGUCCUUUAAGUCUGAUGUGAAAGCCCACGGCUCAACCGUGGAGGGUCGUUGGAAACUGGAGGACUUGAGUACAGAAGAGGAAAGCGGAAUUCCACGUGUAGCGGUGAAAUGCGUAGAGAUGUGGAGGAACACCAGUGGCGAAGGCGGCUUUCUGGUCUGUAACUGACGCUGAGGCGCGAAAGCGUGGGGAGCAAACA